CCCUUAGAUGUUCUGGGCCGCACGCGCGCUACAAUGAUGAAUUCAACGAGUUUAUAACCUUGGUUGAAAAGCCUGGGUAAUCUUUUGAACUUUCGUCGUGAUGGGGCUAGACCCUUGCAAUUAUUGGUCUCCAACGAGGAAUUCCUAGUAAACGCAAGUCAUCAGCUUGCAUUGAUUACGUCCCUGCCCUUUGUACACACCGCCCGUCGCACCUACCGAUUGAAUGGUCCGGUGAAAUCUUCGGAUUGAGACUUUGAUUUCUUCACGGAAAACGCUGGUUUAAAAAGUUGAUUAAACCUUACCAUUUAGAGGAAGGUGAAGUCGUAACA
This 329-nucleotide ribosomal RNA is filed under the name uncultured eukaryote. Its description in RNAcentral is "partial 18S ribosomal RNA". It matches the Rfam family "Eukaryotic small subunit ribosomal RNA", at positions 1470 to 1796 of the family's 1831-position model. The record is from RNAcentral.